CCUACGGGAGGCAGCAGUAGGGAAUAUUGCUCAAUGGGCGAAACCCUGACGCAGCAACGCCGCGUGGAGGAUGAAGGUCUUCGGAUUGUAAACUCCUUUUGUUAGAGAAGAAAAUGACGGUAUCUAACGAAUAAGCACCGGCAAACUCCGUGCCAGCAGCCGCGGGAAUACGGAGGGUGCAAGCGUUACUCGGAAUCACUGGGCGUAAAGAGCGCGUAGGCGGGAUAGCAAGUCAGGUGUGAAAACCUCUGGCUUAACCAUAGAACUGCAUUUGAAACUGGUAUUCUAGAGUAUGGGAGAGGUAGGUGGAAUUCUUGGUGUAGGGGUGAAAUGCGUAGAGAUCAAGAGGAAUACUCAUGGCGAAGGCGGCCUGCUGGAACAUAACUGACGCUGAUGCGCGAAAGCGUGGGGAGCAAACAGGAUUAGAUACCCCAGUAGUC
This 440-nucleotide ribosomal RNA is filed under the name uncultured bacterium. RNAcentral describes it as "partial 16S ribosomal RNA". It matches the Rfam family "Bacterial small subunit ribosomal RNA", at positions 338 to 795 of the family's 1533-position model. The record is from RNAcentral.